RNAcentral lists this ribosomal RNA (403 nucleotides) under uncultured bacterium. Its description in RNAcentral is "partial 16S ribosomal RNA". It matches the Rfam family "Bacterial small subunit ribosomal RNA", at positions 30 to 526 of the family's 1533-position model. The record is from RNAcentral.
AUUGAACGCUGGCGGCAUGCCUAACACAUGCAAGUCGAGCGAGCGGCGGACGGGUGAGGAAUGUAUGGGGACUGCCCGAUAGCGGGCGAUAACUACUGGAAACGGUAGCUAAUACCGCAUACUAUCGGAUAACCCAGAUGGGAUUAGCUAGUAGGGGAGGUAAUGGCUCACCUAGGCGACGAUCCCUAGCUGGUCUGAGAGGAUGAUCAGCCACACUGGGACGUAGAAACGGCCCAGACUCCUACGGAGGCAGCAGUGGGGAAUAUUGCACGAUGGGCGAAAGCCUGAUGCAGCCAUGCCGCGUGUAUGAAGAAGGCCCUAGGGUUGGAAAGGACUUUCAGUCGGGAGGCGUUGCCGACAGAAGAAGCACCGGCUAACUCCGUGCCAGCAGCCGCGGUAAUAC